UCCAGCGCGGCAACACCACCACACACCACCCCCCCCCCCCCCCCCCUUUUCUCUCCUUUUUUCUUCUCUGAAGUUAACUCUCUCUCUCUCUCUCUCCCUCUCUCUCUCCUGCAUCCGUGCGUGGUGCCGUGGUGUUUUUGCCUUUCCGUCGCCGAGCAGCAGUCUCUUCCCCGCUGUCUGAGCCACCACCAGUUGCCCCUAUCGUUCCGAAGGCCGCUGUUCCCUUCACGAGCUGCCUCUCAGCCCCGUGAGCGCCGUUGACCACCACGAAUCGCGCACACACACACACGUCACGGCCUCUUGUGUCCGUCACCCGUGGCCUGCGCUCACCCACGGCUCUCUCUCUCCCUCCGUCCCUGUCCAAAUUAGGCGAGACCGUUUAUACCGAGUGUUUCCUUUCCCGCGACACUUCUACUUAUAUAGACUAUAGUUCCUCCUCAGUUGUUCCUCACUAACCCUCCACCCCCCUCCGCCCAAUUCUCGACGUUCCCCCGCCGACGGCUUCUCUUAGUAGAUAAUGGAAAACAAACCGUCCGGUUCUCCAACGAGCUUGGUCGAUCAGUUAGUCGUACCAGGAGAUGUGGUUCUCGAUCUCAACAGCAUGACUAACCAAACCAUUAAGCUCGGCGGCGGUCUCCGUCAGGAUUGUGAUGCUAUUGCCGUUACGAAGGCAGGGAAGCUGAGGUGCACAAAGCCAAACAAGUACUGGGUCGAAAGCUCCCAGAAAAGGUAUGAGCCUCAUCCAGGGGAUUCUGUUCUUGGAAUUGUCGUAGACUCUAAAGCAGAUAAUUUUCUUGUGGACAUUAAAGGACCUGCUUUGGCAUACUUACCUGUGCUUGCAUUUGAAGGAGGAACUAGGAGAAACAUACCAAAGUUUGAGGUAGGUACUUUGAUCUAUGUUCGGGUUGUGAAGGCAAACCCUGGCAUGAAUCCAGAGCUCUCAUGCACUGAUGCCAGCGGGAAAGCAGCAGAAUUUGGCCAACUUAAGGAUGGUUAUAUGUUUGAAUCUUCGACUGGUCUAUCAAGAACUCUCCUGAGCUCGCCAACUUGUCCCGUUCUCGAUGCUUUAGGGAAGAAGCUUUCCUUUGAGAUAGCAGUUGGAUUGAACGGCCGUGUUUGGGUUAAUGCCACCUCUCCAUCUACAGUCAUUGUUGUUGCCAAUGCAAUUAUGAACUCAGAAUCAUUGAGUGCGGUACAGCAGAGAAUUAUGGUGGAGAAAUUGCUGCAGAAUUUGAAGUUAUCAAGCCUUGGGUUUGCUCCUCAAUGGUCACUAGUUCGAGUCUCCUCAGGGCCACUGGAGGAUUUAUCUGGUCGUUAACUUCAGGGCCCAUUGGGAUUAGUCGAGGUGCGCGUAAGCUGGUCCGGACACCCAAGCGUGAAGAAGUGCAUGCUCUGUAGCUAUCAAAUCUACCGAAUGUUUCUGCAUGUGACGUGGGGUUACGAAGACAACAAAAUUUCUACGCAAGCCGAUGCUCACAUAAAUCUUUGGGCAUUGGCCGCUCUGCUCAUUCUGCCCCAGUCGUAGAAUCCCAUAUGAAAUGAGUUUUUCAAUGCCGUUGUGUUUUGCAUUACUUCGAGGCAGAUUAAUUUAUAAGAAUGAUCUUAUUUUUUGUCCUUCUGCAGAGCGGUCUCUAUUGAAUGAAUUUGGAUGUACUUCCAAAUGUUUUGGAAUUUGGAUUCAGUUCUGCUUAGGCUUCUACUUGUCUGUAACUCUAGUUGGCACGUCACUCAUUUUCGCUUUUAUUGUAGUGUUUUACUGUUCA
RNA transcript from Carya illinoinensis, 1763 nucleotides. It is a transcript of the gene named putative exosome complex component rrp40, with no coding region annotated. The transcript is spliced from 11 exons. Lineage: Eukaryota; Viridiplantae; Streptophyta; Magnoliopsida; Fagales; Juglandaceae. The record is from RefSeq and is a predicted model, not a curated record.